UUGAGCUUGCUUCUACCUAUACAAAGCCCAAGUCUUUCCUUCUUUCCUUGUUCACGUCAGAGUUGGGCAGAGAGAAAAGUAACGUCGUUCAGCUCUUCUCUUCCACGUUAUUACCAUGCAUAUGGCAACUCCUCCAAGAACAUCACUCCAGAUAUUCAAAAGGGAGAGUCCCAAACCAGAGACUGUCGUCCACCCUCCUCUUCUCACCCUCUCUCUUUGCUGGGCACAUCAGUGUGUUUGUAUGCCUCGAAACUCCUAGUUAGGGACCUCCGAUCAAAAAACUUUCUUCAUCAAAGUUGUUUGUCUACAUCUCAUUUAUCUAGUCUCCAAAUUUCAGCUCCAUCGGAGACUUUUUGGGAUCUGUACAUCCCUCGAAGAGGAAGCUUAUCGGAAGCGAGCCUGUUCCGGAUUUCUGCUUGAAUUCCCUCUCUUGCUCUACCCGAAUCCCUCACAUCUUACUUGAGACUAAUACAAACACUUGUUUCUGUUUCACUCUGCAUGUUCGAGAUGGAGCGAAUUUGUUGACCUGCAAUUGGGCUUGAUCCAAUCAGCUCCCUCAGCUCUCUUUCCUGUUGAAAUCCUCAAGAGAAACUCACCUUUUUUAUUAGUCUUUGGCUCGAUACUGUGGUGGAAUCUUGUGAAGUUGGUGGUUGCUACAAGGUUGCAUUGAGGCCAAGUGCUGCAAGAGAAACCUCUAGUUCCAGAUUGGAUUGAUGUGUUGGAAAUUGAUGGGGAUGUAAGGAGAGGUCUGUUCCUCCUUGAGCCACCGGUGGUGGGUAGUGUGCACCAUGCCCUUGUUAUUGAAUACCUCCCCCUUCUCUAACCUUGUGAUUAUU
Molecule: long non-coding RNA, 836 nt
Organism: Rosa chinensis
Lineage: Eukaryota; Viridiplantae; Streptophyta; Magnoliopsida; Rosales; Rosaceae
Exons: 4
Source: RefSeq, a predicted model, not a curated record